Molecule: long non-coding RNA, 1122 nt
Organism: Melitaea cinxia (Glanville fritillary)
Lineage: Eukaryota; Metazoa; Arthropoda; Insecta; Lepidoptera; Nymphalidae
Exons: 2
Source: RefSeq, a predicted model, not a curated record
UUUUUACAUGACGCGAACUAUACCUAAUUGCUGUCGGCGACAAAACACAUAGGAAUGCAAGCCGAUCUUCCUGAAUUGGCAGACUUCCCAAGACUAAAACAUGAAGAUUUGAUUUUGAUUGCUGUGGGCACGUAUCACUUGAAAAUCGCCCGCUCUUAUUGCAGUGAGCAUAUCAAGCAAACAGGUGUUUAUGAACUUGAAGUUUUUCGUCAUCCCGAGUUAAUACACAUUAAUGAUGAAAACUGUGUCUCAAUAAGAUGUCGCAUACAAUCGAGGCACGUAAGAAGCAAGAUCUAUUACACCUACAUUCUUUAUAAAAGGGAAAAUGGCAGGAAUGGCAUAUCAGGAUAUUACUGCUCCUGUAUUCAUGGGCGGAGAACAUUGGGCUGUUGCGCCCACGUCAUGAGCGUUUUAUAUUACUUAGGGUGGGCUAGACAUGAGGAGCAGUUCGCGCAUCCCGCAUCAUUUUUGGAUCAUAUCGUGUUAGACAUAGAGAAUCGAUGACUUUUAAGCGUAAUUAUUAAAAUGACAAGUACAUUCAUAUCGUGUUUUUAGUUCUAUCAUCCUAUUAUCUUGUAAAAGUAGUUGGGAUAGUAGAGAAGUUGCCAUAAAAAUGUCAUUAUAUACACUCUUAAACCACAACUGUAUCUGUUUACUGUUCCUUUUACUAAUACAUUAUGUUACCUCUAAAAUCUCGAGUAGCAAUGUGGCGCAGAUGGUAAAAUUCGAAUAGCAAUUUCACACAUAUAGCCACUGAUUUCGAUGAUGCCCCCUAUGUAAUAUUUAAUUACUUAUUUUUAUCUAUAUUUUGAGUUACAUUUUUUGCGCCGGGCCUGGGAUUUAUUCUCAUACUUCAUGAGCAUUGUCCUUUGGUCGAGAUCUGAUAACGACUUUUUGAUUAAUCUUUGAUAACACGUAUUUACUUGACUAUUUUUCGUCUACUUACGUUGUAUUACUAUUCGAUGUAAUUGAAGUCGGUUUUUUUUGUUUACGGGCACAUACGAUUAUUUACUUUCAAGACAGUCAUGUUGUUCGCUUGUAUGACCUAAAUGUGCAUAAUUAACUACAAUAUUAUACAAGUAGGUACCUGAAUGAUGUAAUAAAUUAAAAAUUAAAAAUGUU